RNAcentral lists this long non-coding RNA (235 nucleotides) under Medicago truncatula (barrel medic). Its description in RNAcentral is "long non-coding RNA (MTRU_LNC004706)". The record is from RNAcentral. Lineage: Eukaryota; Viridiplantae; Streptophyta; Magnoliopsida; Fabales; Fabaceae.
AGGGAUCGGAACUUCUAAAACCUAAUGAACGAUAUGAGAACUUGGUUGUGAGGAAUAUAUCAACUAUGCCUGCUCCUAAGAAGUUGGUCCAGCCAUCGUCUAAUGGAAUUCCAGCACCCCCACCAAGAACUACGCCUCCACCACCUCCAAAAAGAGCUAUGCCCCCACCACCUCCUCCACCUAAAUUUUAUGAUUCAAUUGAAGUUAAAGUACAAGACAAGAGCAAUAGUUUACG